This 359-nucleotide long non-coding RNA is filed under the name Fukomys damarensis (Damara mole-rat). RNAcentral describes it as "lncRNA (ENSFDAG00000023391.1)". Lineage: Eukaryota; Metazoa; Chordata; Mammalia; Rodentia; Bathyergidae. The record is from RNAcentral.
CCAUCACAAAGGGACAGGAAGAAAUCAAACGCUCAGACUGAAAUGCUGGGGUUCGGAUCAAAGACAGCCAGAGACAGUUAGAAGGCAGCAACUUCCCGGUGCCCACCCGGUGGGGUGGGAGAAGUCGUUAGUCUUAAAUAAAAUGGAGCUGAGGACAAAAAUCUACAGCUGCGCUUUUGAAUCUAAAGCGAAGUUUAGCUUUGCAGUUUGGGUCGGUACAGGCGGACUGUCCUCUACACCGGCCAGUGGGUGCGCACAGUCUUCCAGGCCUGCAGGAGGCAGAAGUGGUAGGUUUCCUUGCUGAGCAUGCGCCGUAGCUCUCUCUGCCCGAGGGAGCCUGGGCGUGGGGGGGCGUGGGG